RNAcentral lists this long non-coding RNA (622 nucleotides) under Homo sapiens (human). RNAcentral's name for it is "non-protein coding lnc-TMEM250-1:8". The record is from RNAcentral. Lineage: Eukaryota; Metazoa; Chordata; Mammalia; Primates; Hominidae.
UGUAGAUGCAGUCUAGCGGGGGGCCGGAGAAGGGCUCAGGUGGGAGGGGCCUCAGCAGGCUCCCAGCUCAGGGGCUGGCCUGGGGGGAACCCUGGGAGCCAGGGGCUGACUCCAGCAACACUGGCCUGUCUGCCUGUUCUGGGAGGGCUGUGAGGAUGUCUUGCAGAUGCUCUGGAUUUCUGCGGAGGCACCUCCAUUCCUUUCUGGCUUUUUUUGCGGGGGAGGGCUUUGGGCCUCUUUCUUUGAGGGAACACCGUCAAAGAAAGCCUGGGAGAUCGAGGCUUCAGUGAGCCAGGAUGGAAACGCGUGUCCCAAGUGUCCGGAGCAGGCGGCAGAGGCCUCAGUGCGGCAAACACAGCCCCAGAGCCUGUGUGGCACCAGCAGCAUCUUAGAGCCCCAGCUUCUGUGGAUGACCUCUGAUGAGCCCGGGCUGCGUCCACGCCCUGGGCAGGUAGGCGGGAGCUUCCCUGCGUGGGCCUCAUUUCUUGCUGCAGAGAAUCUUUUGCACUAAGUCAUGCUGUUUCCUCAAAGAAGCUUUGUUUUUUGUUAACGUAUUACUCAGAGUCACCCAAGCCUCUUGGCUGAGGGUGAAGGUGGGACGGGAGGCGGGAGGGGGCUGGUG